GAUGAACGCUGGCGGCGUGCCUAAUACAUGCAAGUCGAGCGAACAGACGAGGAGCUUGCUCCUCUGACGUUAGCGGCGGACGGGUGAGUAACACGUGGAUAACCUACCUAUAAGACUGGGAUAACUUCGGGAAACCGGAGCUAAUACCGGAUAAUAUAUUGAACCGCAUGGUUCAAUAGUGAAAGACGGUUUUGCUGUCACUUAUAGAUGGAUCCGCGCCGCAUUAGCUAGUUGGUAAGGUAACGGCUUACCAAGGCAACGAUGCGUAGCCGACCUGAGAGGGUGAUCGGCCACACUGGAACUGAGACACGGUCCAGACUCCUACGGGAGGCAGCAGUAGGGAAUCUUCCGCAAUGGGCGAAAGCCUGACGGAGCAACGCCGCGUGAGUGAUGAAGGUCUUCGGAUCGUAAAGCUCUGUUAUUAGGGAAGAACAAAUGUGUAAGUAACUAUGCACGUCUUGACGGUACCUAAUCAGAAAGCAACGGCUAACUACGUG
This 497-nucleotide ribosomal RNA is filed under the name uncultured bacterium. Its description in RNAcentral is "partial 16S ribosomal RNA". It matches the Rfam family "Bacterial small subunit ribosomal RNA", at positions 28 to 507 of the family's 1533-position model. The record is from RNAcentral.